AUACGUAGCAGUUGCUUUUUGACAGCUUGCUUCUGGAGUGAAUGAAUAAAUUAAUAAAUUUAUUCAUUUGAUAUUCAGUGACAUGUGAUAUUCAGUGAUCCAUUUUGCAGAUAACACUAACAAAGUUGACCUUAGAAUUGGAGUGCCCGGGUUAGAACCUUGCUGGUACCACCUGCUUACUGCAUGCUUCUGAUGUGAGUUCAGGAGAAGCCACUGGCAAGGACAGCAAAGAACAGGAGAACACUCUAGCUUCCCUGAUAGCAUUCAAGGUGCUGUCCAAAGCUCUUGAGUUUCUGCUUUCAAGUGACCCUCAGAAAUGCCCCCAUUCACUGCAGAGGUUCUGUUUCUCCUUGUUUUGUUCCGACUUUAUGGCAGAACUAGGUUAAUGAGUUAAUUACUAUGAGUUAUCACUUGGAUUUGAAGAACCAUCAUUUCUAGGCUUUGCUGCUCAGAGUGGCCUUGCCAUCGUAUCCCCUUUUGGAGACACAAGCCAGGAAGGAAGCUCUUCAGUGCAGCUGUGAAUAGAGAAACGCUGGCUGAGGUUUUGGGGACACUGGGUGAUCAUUCCCAGUGAAAUUUUUAGAUCCCUGGGGACAUGAGCUGCUUUGUCUUUUCCAAGGCUGAAAAAGUUUUGGAAGCCCUCCUAAGCAGCUGCCAGACCCUUUUUUGGCCAGAGACAGGAUCUUACUCUGUUGCCCAGGCUGGAGUGCAAUAAUGUCACCAUGGCUGACUGUAACCUGGAACUGCUGGGCUCAAGGGAUCCUUCCAGCUCAGCCUCCCAAGUAGCUAGGAGUACAGUCUGGAGAACACUUUUGAGCUAUUUACAACCUUUAAUAAUUGAGUAGAGUAUACUCUUGUAAAUAGAAUUUGAAGCACAUUUCUCUUUCUGCCUGAUUUCUCUAGAAUUUGUAAACUAUUUGUGAAUAUUCUAAAUUUAUGGCAAUAUGGUUGCUCACAUAAGUUCAAUAAUAAUCUGUUUUCUUUUAUAAUGAGACACAGUUGGAGGAACUGGUUAUUUUCCCAGGGCUUUGACUGAAAUGGCCUUGUGAAUGGUUCCAGGAAAGCCAAUUUUGGAGACCCUAUGUGGAUGAUGAUGCUUGCUGUACUUUCUGUGGGUAAUCGGGCCAAGUAUAUGGGACUGAAGCUAAUUUUGCAGGUGAGGAAAUGGAGGUCCAGAGAGAAAAGUGACUCACCCAAGCUGAAAACAAUUGCAGGAAGAAAAGCUGUUAGGAAUCUUGGAGUACACUAAAGAUGAGGAACUGAGUCACUGCAAUGCCAAAUGUAACAAGCUGUGGGUCAAAAUUUGGAUGUUUGCAUUGGAAAUUAUUCUGAAGCCACAGACAGGGCUAAAAGGAUGAUUCACAAAGCGUUCAUAGCAGGGAAGCUGAUGGAAAACUGACAUGCCCCUAGACUUGAGAGAUGCUCUCUAAGUUUAAAAAGGAAACAGCUUAUUGUAAAAUUUAUUUGAAUCCUACAACCUUCCCAUAUCUGUGUAAUUAGCAAAAAGACAAGCUGCAACCAGAGAGG
Molecule: long non-coding RNA, 1527 nt
Filed under: Pongo abelii (Sumatran orangutan)
Lineage: Eukaryota; Metazoa; Chordata; Mammalia; Primates; Hominidae
Description: lincRNA
Source: RNAcentral